This 460-nucleotide ribosomal RNA is filed under the name uncultured bacterium. RNAcentral describes it as "partial 16S ribosomal RNA". It matches the Rfam family "Bacterial small subunit ribosomal RNA", at positions 338 to 795 of the family's 1533-position model. The record is from RNAcentral.
CCUACGGGUGGCAGCAGUGAGGAAUAUUGGUCAAUGGACGAAAGUCUGAACCAGCCAUGCAGCGUGAAGGAUGACUGCUCUAUGGGUUGUAAACUUCUUUUAUACGGGAGUAAACGCAGGUACGUGUGCCUGUCUGCAUGUACUGUACGAAUAAGGAUCGGCUAACUCCGUGCCAGCAGCCGCGGUAAUACGGAGGAUUCGAGCGUUAUCCGGAUUUAUUGGGUUUAAAGGGAGCGUAGAUGGGUGGAUAAGUUAGUUGUGAAAGCUUGCGGCUCAACUGUAAAAUUGCCUUUGAUACUGGCAGUCUAGAGUACAGUUGCGGUAGGCGGAAUGCAUGGUGUAGCGGUGAAAUGCUUAGAGAUCAUACAGAACUCCGAUUGCGAAGGCAGCUUACUAAGCUGCCUCUGACAUUGAUGCUCGAAAGUGUGGGUAGCAAACAGGAUUAGAUACCCUUGUAGUC